This 1283-nucleotide ribosomal RNA is filed under the name Bacillus subtilis. Its description in RNAcentral is "bacterial SSU rRNA". It matches the Rfam family "Bacterial small subunit ribosomal RNA", at positions 25 to 1322 of the family's 1533-position model. The record is from RNAcentral. Lineage: Bacteria; Bacillati; Bacillota; Bacilli; Caryophanales; Bacillaceae.
CAGGAAUAACGACAUGCAGAUACAUGCGACGUCGAGCGGACAGAUGGGUAGCUUGCUCCCUGAUGUUAGCGGCGGACGGGUGAGUAACACGUGGGUAACCUGCCUGUAAGACUGGGAUAACUCCGGGAAACCGGGGCUAAUACCGGAUGCUUGUUUGAACCGCAGGUUCAAACAUAAAAGGUGGCUUCGGCUACCACUUACAGAUGGACCCGCGGCGCAUAGCUAGUUGGUGAGGUAAUGGCUCACCAAGGCAACGAUGCGUAGCCGACCUGAGAGGGUGAUCGGCCACACUGGGACUGAGACACGGCCCAGACUCCUACGGGAGGCAGCAGUAGGGAAUCUUCCGCAAUGGACGAAAGUCUGACGGAGCAACGCCGCGUGAGUGAUGAAGGUUUUCGGAUCGUAAAGCUCUGUUGUUAGGGAAGAACAAGUACCGUUCGAAUAGGGCGGUACCUUGACGGUACCUAACCAGAAAGCCACGGCUAACUACGUGCCAGCAGCCGCGGUAAUACGUAGGUGGCAAGCGUUGUCCGGAAUUAUUGGGCGUAAAGGGCUCGCAGGCGGUUCCUUAAGUCUGAUGUGAAAGCCCCCGGCUCAACCGGGGAGGGUCAUUGGAAACUGGGGAACUUGAGUGCAGAAGAGGAGAGUGGAAUUCCACGUGUAGCGGUGAAAUGCGUAGAGAUGUGGAGGAACACCAGUGGCGAAGGCGACUCUCUGGUCUGUAACUGACGCUGAGGAGCGAAAGCGUGGGGAGCGAACAGGAUUAGAUACCCUGGUAGUCCACGCCGUAAACGAUGAGUGCUAAGUGUUAGGGGGUUUCCGCCCCUUAGUGCUGCAGCUAACGCAUUAAGCACUCCGCCUGGGGAGUACGGUCGCAAGACUGAAACUCAAAGGAAUUGACGGGGGCCCGCACAAGCGGUGGAGCAUGUGGUUUAAUUCGAAGCAACGCGAAGAACCUUACCAGGUCUUGACAUCCUCUGACAUCCUAGAGAUAGGACGUCCCCUUCGGGGGCAGAGUGACAGUGGUGCAUGGUUGUCGUCAGCUCGUGUCGUGAGAUGUUUGGGUUAGUCCCGCACGAGCGCACCCUGAUCUUAGUGCAGCAUUCAGUGGGCACUCUAGUGACUGCGUGACAACCGAGAAAAAGUGGAUGACGUCAAUCAUCAUGCCCUUAUUGACUGGCUACCACCUGCUACAUUGGACGGACAGGGCACGAACCGAGUUAAGCCAAUUCCAAUCUUGUUCUCAGUCCGGAUUGCGAAGUCUGUCAACUCUCACAUCUGUG